Molecule: ribosomal RNA, 660 nt
Filed under: Rhynchocorys stricta
Lineage: Eukaryota; Viridiplantae; Streptophyta; Magnoliopsida; Lamiales; Orobanchaceae
Description: eukaryotic LSU rRNA
Rfam family: 5.8S ribosomal RNA (bases 263-418)
Source: RNAcentral
UCAGUAGGUGACCUGCGGAGGAUCAUUGUCGAAACCUGCAAAAGCAGACCGCGAACUUGUCAAACCACUCGGGAUCGAGGCGCGAGGGAAACCUCGUGUCGAGUUCCCCUCCCGUGUGCUUGCGUUUGAUUUCAUUCGCUCGUACCACGGGCUAACGAACCCCGGCGCGGCAUGCGCCAAGGAAUACUCAAAGAAGCGUCCUCCUUCAUCAACCCGUACUCGGUGUGCGAUGGGGGCAGGCACGUCUCUGUAAAGUCUAAACGACUCUCGGCAACGGAUAUCUCGGCUCUCGCAUCGAUGAAGAACGUAGCGAAAUGCGAUACUUGGUGUGAAUUGCAGAAUCCCGUGAACCAUCGAGUCUUUGAACGCAAGUUGCGCCCGAAGCCAUUCGGUUGAAGGCACGUCUGCCUGGGCGUCACGCAUCGCGUCGCACCCAAUCCAAUCGCCCCUUUUUGGGAUGAUUGAGAUUCGGGGCGGAUAUUGGUCCCCCGUGUGCACAAGUGCGCGGUCGGCCUAAAUGCGAACCUGCGGCGACUCGCGUCACGACCGGUGGUGGUUGAUAACUCAACUUUCGUUUUGUCGUGCCGAAUGUAGUCGCAUGUCGGGCGUCAUUGUUAACCCAAUGGCUCGAUCAACUCGAGCUUUCGACCGCGACCCCAG